RNAcentral lists this unclassified non-coding RNA (184 nucleotides) under uncultured Pleosporales. RNAcentral describes it as "sequence contains ITS1". Lineage: Eukaryota; Fungi; Ascomycota; Dothideomycetes; Pleosporales. The record is from RNAcentral.
CACACUGUGCCCCGUCUGCGAGUGCGGACCCCUCACGGGGGGCUCGCACCCGCCGGCGUAGCUCAGCUCACCCUUGUCUAUCUACACCAUUCGUGAAUCCCUCGGCGGGGACGCUCGCCGCUGGGAUCCCCAAACUCCACUGUAUGCAAGCAUCCAAACAUUCUGAAUCCAACCAAAAUUAUCA